CCUACGGGUGGCAGCAGUGGGGAAUAUUGGGCAAUGGGCGCAAGCCUGACCCAGCAACGCCGCGUGAGUGAAGAAGUAUUUCGGUAUGUAAAGCUCUAUCAGCAGGGAAGAUAAUGACGGUACCUGACUAAGAAGCCCCGGCUAACUACGUGCCAGCAGCCGCGGUAAUACGUAGGGGGCAAGCGUUAUCCGGAUUUACUGGGUGUAAAGGGUGCGUAGGUGGCAGGGCAAGUCAGAUGGGAAAGCCCGGGGCUCAACCCCGGUACUGCAUUUGAAACUGUCCAGCUGGAGUGCAGGAGAGGUAAGCGGAAUGCCUGGUGUAGCGGUGAAAUGCGUAGAUAUUAGGAAGAACACCGGUGGCGAAGGCGGCUUACUGGACUGUAACUGACACUGAGGCACGAAAGCGUGGGGAGCAAACAGGAUUAGAUACCCUGGUAGUC
RNAcentral lists this ribosomal RNA (440 nucleotides) under uncultured bacterium. RNAcentral's name for it is "partial 16S ribosomal RNA". It matches the Rfam family "Bacterial small subunit ribosomal RNA", at positions 338 to 795 of the family's 1533-position model. The record is from RNAcentral.